ACAAGAAAAACUAUUGAAAGAGCAUUUGGCCGGAAGCUUUCUGAGAUUUUUGAGGGUUUUGAAGAGGUGCCUGUUGCAUCUGGAAGUAUUGCUCAAGUGCAUCGAGCCUCUUUGAGGUUUCGGUACCCUGGUCAAAAACUGGCAAAGCCUACAAUAGUUGCUGUGAAAGUCAGGCAUCCUGGCGUUGGUGAAUCAAUUAGGAGAGAUUUUGA
RNAcentral lists this unclassified non-coding RNA (212 nucleotides) under Hevea brasiliensis (rubber tree). The record is from RNAcentral. Lineage: Eukaryota; Viridiplantae; Streptophyta; Magnoliopsida; Malpighiales; Euphorbiaceae.